CCCUUAGAUGUUCUGGGCUGCACGCGCGCUACACUGAUGCACUCAACGAGUUUACGAGCUUGUCCGAGAGGAUUGGCUAAUCUUUUCAAAAUGCAUCGUGAUGGGGAUAGAUUAUUGCAAUUAUUAAUCUUCAACGAGGAAUUCCUAGUAAGCGCGAGUCAUCAGCUCGUGCUGAUUACGUCCCUGCCCUUUGUACACACCGCCCGUCGCUCCUACCGAUUGAGUGCUCAGGUGAAUAAUUCGGACUGCAGCAGUGUUUGGAUCCCGAACGCUGCAGCGGAAAGUUUAGUGAACCUUNUNACUUAGNGGAAGGAGAANUCGUANCA
This 326-nucleotide ribosomal RNA is filed under the name uncultured eukaryote. Its description in RNAcentral is "partial 18S ribosomal RNA". It matches the Rfam family "Eukaryotic small subunit ribosomal RNA", at positions 1470 to 1796 of the family's 1831-position model. The record is from RNAcentral.